UUAUGGCUCAGGAUGAACGCUAGCUACAGGCUUAACACAUGCAAGUCGAGGGGCAGCAUUGGGAUAGCUUGCUAUCCAGAUGGCGACCGGCGCACGGGUGAGUAACGCGUAUCCAACCUUCCCUACAGUAGGGGAUAGCCCGGCGAAAGUCGGGUUAAGCCCUAUGUUCUCUUUGAUGACAUCUGACGAGAAGCAAAGGUUUACCGCUAUAGGAUGGGGAUGCGUCUGAUUAGCUUGUCGGCGGGGUAACGGCCCACCGAGGCAACGAUCAGUAGGGGUUCUGAGAGGAAGGUCCCCCACAUUGGUACUGAGACACGGACCAAACUCCUACGGGAGGCAGCAGUGAGGAAUAUUGGUCAAUGGGCGAGAGCCUGAACCAGCCAAGUAGCGUGCAGGAAUGACUGCCCUAUGGGUUGUAAACUGCUUUUAUGCGGGAAUAAAGUCAGGUACGCGUACCUGUUUGUAUGUACCGCAUGAAUAAGGACCGGCUAAUUCCGUGCCAGCAGCUGC
RNAcentral lists this ribosomal RNA (510 nucleotides) under uncultured bacterium. Its description in RNAcentral is "bacterial SSU rRNA". It matches the Rfam family "Bacterial small subunit ribosomal RNA", at positions 17 to 518 of the family's 1533-position model. The record is from RNAcentral.